This 26-nucleotide unclassified non-coding RNA is filed under the name Mus musculus (house mouse). RNAcentral's name for it is "oocyte_clustered_small_RNA6317". Lineage: Eukaryota; Metazoa; Chordata; Mammalia; Rodentia; Muridae. The record is from RNAcentral.
UAGUCAGGUUCUGCAUUCACACAUCC